Molecule: RNA transcript, 1696 nt
Organism: Rhinopithecus roxellana (golden snub-nosed monkey)
Lineage: Eukaryota; Metazoa; Chordata; Mammalia; Primates; Cercopithecidae
Gene name: glutamate dehydrogenase 1, mitochondrial-like
Exons: 8
Source: RefSeq, a predicted model, not a curated record
ACACCGCCGGAAACGGAAAUUCACAGUGGCGCCGACUCGGCGGAGGGAAACAAGAAGACAGAAAAAAGAGACCGGCGCCUGGAGGACGUUCAGGGGAAAGCUGGAAGGAAAACUCCCCAACAGCUGAGUGCGGGCGCAGGUGCCGUCUGCGCAGUGCAUUCCGCCGGGUCCGCGUCCCUGCUGAUUCCGCCACACCCUGCUCUCGGAAUCCGCUGUCUCAACUCCCGCGAGGAUAUUAAUGGACACGCCUGUGUUACUGGUAAACCCAUCAGCCAAGGUGGAAUCGAUGGAUGCAUCUCUGCUACUGGCUGUGGUGUCUUCCAUGGGAUUGAAAACUUCAUCAAUGAAGCUUCUUAAUGAGCAUUUUAGGAAUGACACCAGGGUUUGGAGAUAAAAUAUUUGUUGUUAAGGGAUUUGGUAACGUGGGCCUACACUCUAUGAGAUAUUUACAUCGUUUUGGUGCUAAAUGUAUUGCUGUUGGUGAGUCUGAUGAGAGUAUAUGGAAUCCAGAUGGUAUUGACCCAAAGGAACUGGAAGACUUCAAAUUGCAACAUGGGUCCAUUCUGGGCUUCCCCAAGGCAAAGCCCUAUGAAGGAAGCAUCUUGGAGGCCGACUGUGACAUACUGAUCCCAGCGCCAGUGAGAAGCAGUUGACCAAACCAACUCACCCAGAGUCAAAGCCAAGAUCGUUGCUGAAGGUGCCAAUGGGCCAACAACUCCAGAAGCGGACAAGAUCUUCCUGGAGAGAAACAUUAUGGUUAUUCCAGAUCUCUACUUGAAUGCUGGAGGAGUGACAGUAUCUUACUUUGAGUGGCUGAAGAAUCUAAGUCAUGUCAGCUAUGGCCAUUUGACCUUCAAAUAUGAAAGGGAUUCUAACUACCACUUGCUCAUGUCUGUUCAAGAGAGUUUAGAAAGAAAAUUUGGAAAGCAUCGUGGAACUGUUCCCAUUAUACCCACAGCAGAGUUCCAAGACAGGAUAUCGCAAAUUAUGCGCACAGCCAUGAAGUAUAACCUGGGAUUGGACCUGAGAACAGCUGCCUAUGUCAAUGCCAUUGAGAAAGUCUUCAAAGUGUACAAUGAAGCUGGUGUGACCUUCACAUAGAUGGAUCAUGGCUGACUUCCUCACUACCCUCUUCACUUGUAACUUCUGCAGAGCUGUCACAAGUUUACAUGUAACCACAGAAAUCCCUUUCUCUCCUGACUCAGUAGUAAUGGAUACCAUUCUCAACAAGUCAAUGCAAAUCAGCCCCUGAAGGAGAAAGAAGUUAAGGUUAGGGGAUCAUGUACAAGCUGAGUGUGAAAGUAGAAAUCACCUACACCAGAGAGCCAUUUUGGUAUUUUGCCUUUAAAUAAAAAGUCUCCUCCAUCUGGCUGUGCAGCCUUGCUCUGUGGCUUUUCCCAACACAAUCAGUGCUAUUGCUGGGGAAGGGACAGUCAAGAGCAGUCAGUUGCUUGCUUAUUUUGCACUGGAUGAGUCUGGGACACGCUGUAACUUUAACACAUUUAAGAAGUAGGUGUGUGGCCUUUUCAGAAGGUGGCAUGGUCCUCAAGUGAGUUCUUAGCAUUUUAUAUCAGCAAAAUAACUCAAUUUUGCAGGUUGCAAACAAAUAUAAAAGCUGUUUCUGUUUAUGAAUUCUAUUCUUUUAGAAUAAAAUAAGUAUAUGCUGCUGUAAUAAAAUUGUCCUUUAAUCACUUAA